GUAGGUGAACCUGCGGAAGGAUCAUUACAGAGAACAUCGCCCGCGAGGGUGACUCUCCAACCCUAUGUUAAUUAUACCUUUGUUGCUUUGGCGAGCCGCUCCGGCCACCGGCUUCUAGCUGGUGAGUGCUCGCCAGAGGACCCUAAACUCUGUUUAUACAUGUCGUCUGAGUACUAUAUAAUAGUUAAAACUUUCAACAACGGAUCUCUUGGUUCUG
Molecule: unclassified non-coding RNA, 217 nt
Filed under: rhizosphere metagenome
Description: partial ribosomal RNA internal transcribed spacer region
Source: RNAcentral